Molecule: non-coding RNA, 2678 nt
Organism: Nicotiana tabacum (common tobacco)
Lineage: Eukaryota; Viridiplantae; Streptophyta; Magnoliopsida; Solanales; Solanaceae
Source: RefSeq, a predicted model, not a curated record
GUCAAGUUAGCACAACUUCCACUUUAGUCUAUUUUUUUUUAAUAAUAAUAGAUGACUAAAGUGAACCUAAAAAGAAACAACCACAUCAAAAAGUCCCCAAAACAAAAAAAGAGUUAGGGUUUCGUUCUUCUUCAAUCUUGCAAGCCACUGGUUCUUCGACCUUCAUUCUUCUUCAAUCAUGACUUUUCUUCUGUUGCAUAUCAAAGACAAGCAGUGAUCCAUUGGUAUUUUAGUGAGACUCGAUAUGAUCAAGAGAUUUUUCAAGCCGCAAACCUCUUCAGGGAGAUGCUUCGAGAUGAUCAAGCAGAAAAAUUAGAGGAACUACUAGUGCUUGGUGAAGUUCAUACAGGAAGCGGUUUAAAUCAAGAACUUGGAUUUCAAAGGGCAGGUGAUACUCGGCGGGGUUCUCAUUUUAAGACAGUGCGUAAUUUUAUUAGUUUAUUCUCAUCAAUUGUUCAUGUAUUUGGAGUUCUUGCAAUUGAUGGUUCAAAUUAUCAUGAGAGAUCAAUGGCAAAAAGUCUAGUAGAUGACAUAAGAUUCUAUGACAUUGUGUAUAUGUUACAUUUAAUGUUGAAAGUAUUGGCACUUACAUAUGAUUUAAGUAUGGCUUUGCAAAAAAAAGAACAAGAUAUUGUAAGUGCAAUGAAGCUUGUUGGUUUCGCAAAGAGACAAUUGUAAGAUAUAAGAGAUUCUAGAUGGAAUUCUUUGAUAAAAGACGUCUAUUUAUUUUGUGUCAAGCAUGGUAUUGUGAUCCCCGGAAUGGAUAUGAAUUAUGUUCGUGGAAAGUCAAAGCGUAAGAAAUCAAGUGUUACAUAUUCUUAUCAUUUGCGUGUAGAGGUUUUCUAUGCUAUUAUUGAUUUGCAACUUUCGGAGCUUAACAAUUGUUUCAAUUAAGUGAAUACUGAUCUACUUCUUGGUAUGGCUAGUUUGAGUCCAGAUAAUUCUUUUGCAAAUUAUGAUAAAGACAAGAUUAUGAAACCUGCUACACACUGCCCGAAUGAGUUCACUGAUUCUAUGCUUGAGGAUCUUAGUUUUGAGCUUGACAUCUAUAUUGACUAUGUGCGAGAGGCGGACAAUGAUUUCUCUAACUUGAAAAGACUUGGAGAUCUUUCAAAGACAUUGGUUAAAAUAAAUUUGCACAUACUUAGAGACUUGUUUAUUUGCUUGUGAAGUUAAGUCUGAUAUUACAUGUCGCUACUGCAACGGUAGAAAGAGCUUUUUCUUCGAUGAAGCACGUUAAAAAUGACUUGCGAGGCAGAAUUGGUGAUGAAUUUUUUAAUGAUUGUUUAGUUUGUUAUAUAGAGGAUGAAGUAUUUGAAAGUGUACCUAAUGAUGCGAUCAUUGAUCGUUUUUAAAACAUGACAAGUCGUCGAGUACAAUUGUAAUGAUAAUAUUUAUAUUUAUAUGUUGUCUUUAAGUGUUUUGUUAUUUUCUAAAUAUAUGUUGGAUAUUGAUACUCGUUCCUUAAUUCGGUUAUUGUAAUAUAUUGACUUAAAAUUGCGGUAGGAACUCAUACACUUCAAUUUCUAGAUUACGGUUGACCGGUCUCUGAAACAACGCCAAAUAGUUAGCAACAACUAUUGAUCUGUGUUAGCAAGUAAUUGUGUAAGUCUUAGGAAUUUGAUUCCAGAUUACUUAGGCAAAGAUUUCUUCUGAAUAUAAUAGCAGAUAUGGAGAUAGGACAUGACCAUUUGUGGGAGCAGUAAAAAUCGAUACAAUAUCUGCUGACUUAAGGAAAUUAAUUUCACGCCAUGCAACUUGCUCCAACUAAAUAUAGAGAAAUAUACAUUUGAAACAUAAUUGCGAUCUUGGUCAUGCAACUCAGAUUGAUGUGAAUAUGGAACCAGAUUUAAGCCGUAUAAAACCUUUACCAUACAAACAUUUUAUUUUUUAAUUUUUGGGUCCUAUUUAAUGGGAACUGAUUCCACCAAGCACUUAGCCUCUUUGGCUUCCACCAAUAAUAAGCUGAUUCUUGUACUGUAUACUGAGGUACUAUCUGUCCCUAGUGUUUAUUUUCUUUUCUUUUAUGCUUUUUUUUGGUUAUUUAUACAUAUAUUUUUUUAACCAACCCAUUUGGAUAUUAUGAUUGUUUGGUUGUUGUAUACAUUUAUAUUUAGUCCAUUGCAUCGAUCUGGCUGGUGCAGAUUUGUGUAGCUCCCAAUUUCCGGUUUAGCAUCACUAGGUGGUCCUAUAUUUUAUUCUGUAGAUCCCAUUUCGUGUGUUAAUUAUUUAGAAGCCCAAAAAUGGAUAGAUUGCAUUUUCUUCUAGAGUGACAAAGAAAGCACGAAGACAAAGACUGGUGUCAGACACAUAGUCCGCAUUUUAAUUAAAGUAAUACUAAUAAGGAGAGGAAGGGAUUACCUAAGUAAAUUUCAUGGGCAGUUAUUCAACUUUGUGUUCAUUACCCAAAAGUCAUUUUUCUUUCUUUUAUUACGUAAAAUUCAUUCAAUUUUGUGUUUAUUGCCCAAAAGUCAUUUUUCUUUCUUUUGUUAAACAAAAAUAAUUUUAUUAUGUUCUAGUUAUCACAAUAGUCAUUUUGAUCAAAUUUUACAAACCUUUCACCUAAAAAAUCUAUUAUGCAGUUGACAUUAUAAAUCCUCUCAUUUAUGCAACACCGUCUAUAUUAUAAUAUACUUUUACCCAAGUAUUUUAAUUAUGAUUAAAAUGACUUUAUAUUA